AUGGUGCUAACGCCGGUGCCCCGGGCGAGCGCCCGAGCUGCAGGUCAGCCAGAGAGACCUGCCCCCGGCCGCCGCUCCCCCCCCGGGGCAGGGGCUGCGUGUCCCGUCCCCCUCCCCUCACCCCCUCACCGGGGGGCUCCCCGACACCCCCAGCGGGGUGGGUGCCAGCCCUGCCCCUCUGCAUCCCACCGGGAUCAGGCGGGGAGGCUCAGAUCCACGGUGCUGGGUGGCUCGUGGUGUGGGAUGCUCUGCCGGGGAACGCCACGGGAUGCUCUGCCGGAAAAUGCUGUGGGAUGCUCUGCCGGGGAAUGCCAGAGGGUGCUCUGCUGGAAAAUCCCGUGGGAUGUUCUGCUGGUGAAAGCCAUGGGAUGCUCUGCUGGAAAAUCCCAUGGGAUGUUUUGCCAGCAAAUGCCAUGGGAAGUUCUGCUGGCAAACACUGCGGGAUGCUCUUUCGGUGAGUUCCACGGGAUGCUCCACUGGAAUGUAGGGUGGGAUGCUCUGCUGGAAAAUGCCUCAUGGGAUGCUCUGCUGGAAAACCCCCCAGGAUGCUCUGCUGGCAAACGCCAUGGGAUGCUCUGCCGGCAAAUACGACGGGCUGCUUCACCAGUGAAUCCCAGGGGAUGCUCUGCUGGAAAAACGCCAGCCGGGCACGCCACGCUCCAGCAGACGGGGGUCAUUCUGCCUCCCCCCCCCUCAUCCUUCCACCCCCGUGGGCCACUCUCGUCCCCGGUGCCGGCGGGAGGGUGGCCGGUGCGGGGCCGGGGGGCAGCUGGAGGUUCAGCGUGAGGCUGGAGCCGGGAGAAGGGGAGAAGGAGCAGCUUCUUGGGGUCCCCCAGGAGCCUGGGGACGGGGCUGGGGGGGUCCCGGUGCCGGGGAGGGGGGUGUCCUGCCGGCGGGUGCUGGUGUCUCUCAGUGGGUGACUCGUUUAGGUGGAAAAAAAAAAUCCUCGACCUUUUCUUUUUUUUUUAUUAUUAUUGUUAUUAUUAUUUUAUUUUUUUUUCCUCGUCUGAGUAAAUCAGUGCUCAUACUGUAGGUGUUUUUGUAUGGCAGCAAUAUAAGUGCAAAUUACAGUAGCCGCUUGUACUUUGUUAGUGCGUUUGCCAAAAAACAAACAAAAACAAAAAAAAAGGAAAAAAAAAAAUUAUUUGCCAAACUCUGAUCUUGUUGCCAAACGCGAAUCCCAGGUGUGUGGGGGCUGUGGGGAGGGGGGCAGGGGUGUCCGUGCCGUGGGCUCCUCGCAGCGUCUGCAUCGUCCCCGUCUCCGCGUCCCGUUCCCGGUCGUGCCGUAGCCCGAUUCCUCGCACAGUGUUCGGUAUUUUGUGGAGUUGUUGUUCAGAAGUGAUGAUAAUCGAGAACACAAUAAAAAGGCUCACUUUUCAUUUUGCCA
Molecule: long non-coding RNA, 1387 nt
Filed under: Calidris pugnax (ruff)
Lineage: Eukaryota; Metazoa; Chordata; Aves; Charadriiformes; Scolopacidae
Description: lncRNA (ENSCPUG00000016398.1)
Source: RNAcentral